RNAcentral lists this transfer RNA (82 nucleotides) under Bacteroidetes bacterium HLUCCA01. Its description in RNAcentral is "tRNA-Leu". It matches the Rfam family "tRNA". Rfam says of the family: Transfer RNA (tRNA) molecules are approximately 80 nucleotides in length. Their secondary structure includes four short double-helical elements and three loops (D, anti-codon, and T loops). The record is from RNAcentral. Lineage: Bacteria; Pseudomonadati; Bacteroidota.
GCCGGUGUGGCGGAAUUGGUAGACGCGCACGACUCAAAAUCGUGUUCCCUCGGGAGUAUCGGUUCGACUCCGAUCACCGGUA